RNAcentral lists this ribosomal RNA (392 nucleotides) under uncultured bacterium. RNAcentral describes it as "bacterial SSU rRNA". It matches the Rfam family "Bacterial small subunit ribosomal RNA", at positions 28 to 420 of the family's 1533-position model. The record is from RNAcentral.
GACGAACGCUGGCGGCGUGCUUAACACAUGCAAGUCGAGCGGUAAGGCCCUUUCGGGGGGUACACGAGCGGCGAACGGGUGAGUAACACGUGGGUGACCUGCCCUCAGCUCUGGGAUAAGCCUGGGAAACUGGGUCUAAUACCGGAUAUGACUCCAUGACGCAUGUUGUGGGGUGGAAAGCCUUGUGCGGCUGAGGAUGGGCCCGCGGCCUAUCAGCUUGUUGGUGGGGUGAUGGCCUACCAAGGCGACGACGGGUAGCCGGCCUGAGAGGGCGACCGGCCACACUGGGACUGAGACACGGCCCAGACUCCUACGGGAGGCAGCAGUGGGGAAUCUUGCGCAAUGGGCGAAAGCCUGACGCAGCGACGCCGCGUGAGGGAUGACGGCCUCGG